CUGCUCAGUAACACGUGGACAACCUGCCCUUAGGUUGGGUAUAAACCCGGGAAACUGGGUAUAAUACCCGAUAGGUCUCGAUUGCUGGAAUGCAUCGAGAUUUAAAGCUCCGGCGCCUAAGGAUGGGUCUGCGGCCUAUCAGGUAGUAGUGGGUGUAGCGUACCUACUAGCCUACGACGGGUACGGGUUGUGAGAGCAAGAGCCCGGAGAUGGAUUCUGAGACACGAAUCCAGGCCCUACGGGGUGCAGCAGGCGCGAAAACUUUACAAUGCUGGCAACAGCGAUAAGGGAACCUCGAGUGCCAGGAUACAAAUCUGGCUGUCGAGAUGCCUAAAAAGCAUUUCAUAGCAAGGGCCGGGCAAGACCGGUGCCAGCCGCCGCGGUAACACCGGCGGCUCGAGUGGUAACCGUUAUUAUUGGGUCUAAAGGGUCUGUAGCCGGCCGGAUAAGUCUCUUGAGAAAUCUGGCAGCUUAACUGUCAGGCUUUCAGGAGAUACUGUCUGGCUCGAGGCCGGGAGAGGUGAGAGGUACUUCAGGGGUAGGGGUGAAAUCUUGUAAUCCUUGAAGGACCACCAGUGGCGAAGGCGUCUCACCAGAACGGACCUGACGGCAAGGGACGAAAGCUAGGGGCACGAACCGGAUUAGAUACCCGGGUAGUCCUAGCCGUAAACGAUACUCGCUAGGUGUCGGCCACGGUGCGACCGUUGUCGGUGCCGUAGGGAAGCCGUGAAGCGAGCCACCUGGGAAGUACGGCCGCAAGGCUGAAACUUAAAGGAAUUGGCGGGGGAGCAC
RNAcentral lists this ribosomal RNA (792 nucleotides) under Methanosaeta sp. enrichment culture clone A2281. RNAcentral's name for it is "bacterial SSU rRNA". It matches the Rfam family "Archaeal small subunit ribosomal RNA", at positions 86 to 879 of the family's 1478-position model. Lineage: Archaea; Methanobacteriati; Methanobacteriota; Methanomicrobia; Methanotrichales; Methanotrichaceae. The record is from RNAcentral.